UGAACGCUGGCGGCAUGCCUUACACAUGCAAGUCGAACGGCAGCACGGGUGCUUGCACCUGGUGGCGAGUGGCGAACGGGUGAGUAAUACAUCGGAACGUACCUUAUCGUGGGGGAUAACGCAGCGAAAGCUGUGCUAAUACCGCAUACGCCCUGAGGGGGAAAGCGGGGGAUCGCAAGACCUCGCGCGAUUAGAGCGGCCGAUGCCUGAUUAGCUUGUUGGUGGGGUAAAAGCCCACCAAGGCGACGAUCAGUAGCUGGUCUGAGAGGACGAUCAGCCACACUGGGACUGAGACACGGCCCAGACUCCUACGGGAGGCAGCAGUGGGGAAUUUUGGACAAUGGGGGCAACCCUGAUCCAGCAAUGCCGCGUGAGUGAAGAAGGCCUUCGGGUUGUAAAGCUCUUUUGUCAGGGAAGAAACACCGGCUCUAACACAGUCCGGGAAUGACGGUACCUGAAGAAUAAGCACCGGCUAACUACGUGCCAGCAGCCGCGGUAAUACGUAGGGUGCGAGCGUUAAUCGGAAUUACUGGGCGUAAAGCGUGCGCAGGCGGUUAUACAAGACAGGCGUGAAAUCCCCGGGCUUAACCUGGGAAUGGCGCCUGUGACUGUAUAGCUAGAGUGUGUCAGAGGGGGGUAGAAUUCCACGUGUAGCAGUGAAAUGCGUAGAUAUGUGGAGGAAUACCAAUGGCGAAGGCAGCCCCCUGGGAUAACACUGACGCUCAUGCACGAAAGCGUGGGGAGCAAACAGGAUUAGAUACCCUGGUAGUCCACGCCCUAAACGAUGCUGACUAGUUGUUCGGGAUUUACAUCCUGAGUAACGUAGCUAACGCGUGAAGUCAGCCGCCUGGGGAGUACGGUCGCAAGAUUA
RNAcentral lists this ribosomal RNA (871 nucleotides) under uncultured Polynucleobacter sp. RNAcentral describes it as "bacterial SSU rRNA". It matches the Rfam family "Bacterial small subunit ribosomal RNA", at positions 30 to 896 of the family's 1533-position model. The record is from RNAcentral. Lineage: Bacteria; Pseudomonadati; Pseudomonadota; Betaproteobacteria; Burkholderiales; Burkholderiaceae.